This 85-nucleotide transfer RNA is filed under the name Pleurostomum flabellatum. RNAcentral describes it as "tRNA-Tyr". It matches the Rfam family "tRNA". From Rfam's summary of the family: Transfer RNA (tRNA) molecules are approximately 80 nucleotides in length. Their secondary structure includes four short double-helical elements and three loops (D, anti-codon, and T loops). The record is from RNAcentral. Lineage: Eukaryota; Heterolobosea; Eutetramitea; Acrasida; Tulamoebidae.
AGGAAGGUGGCCGAGCGGUCAAAGGCGGCAGACUGUAAAUCUGCUGUGUUAUAACACUUCGUAGGUUCGAAUCCUACCCUUCCCA